Molecule: ribosomal RNA, 486 nt
Filed under: uncultured soil bacterium
Lineage: Bacteria
Description: bacterial SSU rRNA
Rfam family: Bacterial small subunit ribosomal RNA
Source: RNAcentral
AGGACGAACGCUGGCGGCGUGCUUAACACAUGCAAGUCGUGGGCAUGGGGUAACCCAUGACCGGCGAACGGGUGCGUAACACGUGAGCGACCGUCCCUACGUGAGGGGGAUAGCCGGCCCAACGGCCGGGUAAUACCGCAUACGCUUGACAGGGGGCAUCCCCAGUCAAGGAAACCUCAGGGGCUCGAGGACGGGCUCGCGGCCUAUCAGCUAGUUGGCGGGGUAACGGCCCACCAAGGCGACGACGGGUAGCUGGUCUGAGAGGAUGGCCAGCCACAUUGGGACUGAGAUACGGCCCAGACUCCUACGGGAGGCAGCAGUGGGGAAUAUUGCGCAAUGGCCGAAAGGCUGACGCAGCGACGCCGCGUGUAGGAUGACGCCCGUUCGGGUGUAAACUACUGUUGCCCGGACGAACAGGAGAUUAGAUCUCCGUGACGGUACUGGGUGAGGAAGCGACCGGACUAACCGUCCGUCGCCAGCAGCCGC